Long non-coding RNA from Bos taurus (domestic cattle), 813 nucleotides. The record is from Ensembl. NCBI's taxonomy places the organism in Eukaryota, Metazoa, Chordata, Mammalia, Artiodactyla, Bovidae.
GUUACUGUGUCUUGGUGUGUGUGUGUGUGUGUGGGUGCAGGUGCGUGAGCGUGUGUGGGUGCGUGAGCAUGUAGGGUGCACAUGUGUUACUAUGUCUUGGUGUGUGUGUGUGUGUGUGAGCAUGUAGGGUGCACAUGUGUUAGUGUGUCUCGGUGUGUGUAUGUGUGUGGGUGUGUGAGCAUGUAGGGUGCACAUGUGUUAGUGUGUCUCGGUGUGUGUGUGUGUGUGGGUGUGGGUGUGUGAGCAUGUAGGGUGCACAUGUGUUACUAUGUCUUGGGGUGUGUGUGUGUGUGUGAGCAUGUAGGGUGCACAUGUGUUAGUGUGUCUUGGGGUGUGUGUGUGUGUGUGUGAGCAUGUAGGGUGCACAUGUGUUAGUGUGUCUCGGUGUGUGUGUGUGUGUCUGAGCAUGUAGGGUGCACAUGUGUUAGUGUGUCUCGGUGUGUGUGUGUGUGUGUGUGUGUGAGCAUGUAGGGUGCACAUGUGUUAGUGUGUCUUGGGGUGUGUGUGUGUGUGUGAGCAUGUAGGCAUGUAGGGUGCACAUGUGUUAGUGUGUCUUGGGGUGUGUGUGUGUGUGUGAGCAUGUAGGGUGCACAUGUGUUAGUGUGUCUCGGUGUGUGUGUGUGUGUCUGAGCAUGUAGGGUGCACAUGUGUUAGUGUGUCUUGGGGUGUGUGUGUGUGUGGGUGUGCGUGAGCAUGUAGGGUGCACAUGUGUUAGUGUGUCUCGGUGUGUGUGUGUGUGUGGGUGUGGGUGGUGCACAUGUGUUAGUGUGUCUCGGUGUGUGUGUGUGUGUGUGCGCGUGAGCAUGUAGGGUG